AGAGCGCUCCCUGGUAGGCAUUUGCCCCGGUGGAACGCCUCACCAGAGCAGCGCACAGCAGGCCCCCACAGAGGAUCAAUGCAGUGGCUGAACACCAGGAAGGAACCGGCACUUUAAGUCUGGACAUCUGAAACUUGCUAGAACCCUGUCGAGCAUAACUGUGUAGAGGUGUUGGACUCAAGUUUACUCUAGCAGACCUGACCUCCAGGACCAGCCUUGGGCAUCAGUAAACUGGGAGCUAUACAUGGAUGGGAACAGCUUCAUCAACCCACAAGGAGAGAGAUGUGCAGAAUAUGCGGUGGUAACCCUGGACACUGUCGUUAAGCUGAGCUCAUUGCUUUAAUUCGGGCCUUAGAACUCAGUGAAGUUGCAGGUGUUGUGUCUUGGAUCCAUCACAGUCAGCUAACACUGGCAGCUCAGGACAAAUGGACCAGCCAGCAGGAUGCAGAUCAUCCAACCCGGCUGAUCCUGAGACGAGACCAAGCUGCUGCUGAAGACGACAGCCCUGCUCUGGUCACUCCAGAGGCUGAUCAGUCUAUGCACCGCUGAAGUUUGAGGAGACAACAAGCCCUGCUCUAGUCACACACUGGCAGCUGACUAGUCUAUGUAUGGCCGAAGCUUGAGGAUUCAUCAAGCAAGUAAAUGUAGUUAAAAAUCUUAAGACUAAUAGUUUUCCUGUAAUACUAACUGUUUUCCUAUUGUUCGGUCGCUGUAUUCAACCUUUUUCCCAGGUAAGGACCUCUUUUGUCCUUGCUGGAUAUGAAUAUGCUGUACAUUUUUUUGUUGUUGUUACCCCCCAUAACCAUGCUAGAAGAAACACCUAUAUAAGGUGUCCCCACUGUACACAUACUACUUAGGAAACCCAGACCUGUCCAGCCCAGUAGCAAUUCUGAGUCUUUCAAUCAUUCUUUAAACAUAUAAACCAAAAGUUACCAGAACCUCCUCCUUUAGCAAAAACAGAAAAAAACUAUUUGCUCAGGUGGCUGAAAACAUUGCUAGCUGCCUAGAUGCUUCUUCAUGUUAUGUUUAUAAAAAGGCUAACAUAAGAGACCAAUGGCCUUGAGAAGAAAAAGAGUUAAUGCCUCAAGAUAACUUUAACUAACUCUUUCCCCAAACAGACGCCACAAGUUCAAGCAUCUGGCUCUUAAAACUUCUAUUAUUAAAAAAUACUGUGUUACUCGCUAGGAAAAAGCUUUCAAGACCCAGUAAAAAAAACUAACCUGCUUAAGACAUGACAAAUUUGGUACGUGUGCAUAUACAGGUUUAACACAGGUUUGAUCCUAGAUGUUCAUUUAGAAAAUAGUUUCCAGCUGUAAGAAAAUUUAAAACCCUCAUUGUAAGUGUAUUACUAGUAAUAGGAACUUGCUUGCUGCUCGCCUGUAUAUUAUACUUGCUCCUUCAAAUGAUAAAAGGUUUUGUACCUACCAUGGUUCAUCAGAAAACUUCAACACAAGUGUAUUACAUAAAACACUAUCACUCUGUCUCACCAAAAGACUCAAAAAGUAAAAAUAAAAGUGAGAACUCCCACUGAUUAGUGAAAAUUCUGAAAGGGGGAGAUAAGGAAGGAGACCACUACUACUCCUGCUGCCCCCUUCUCCCCACCUUGCCUAGUUCACAAGACAGGAAGAGAGAAAAAGCAAAAAGUUGGAAAAAAAACAAAAGUAAGAUAAAUAGCCAGACAACACUUGGCACCACCACCCGGCACUAGGAGUUAAAAAAAGUAAUAAUGAUAACAUCAACCCCUGACCUAAACUACUUGUGUUAUCUGUAAAUUCCAGACACUGUAUGAAAAAAAGCAUUGUAAAACUUUUUGUUCUGUUAGCUGAUGCAUGUAGCCCCCAAUCACAUUUCCCAUGCUUGCUUGAUGUAUCACGACCCUUUCACGUGGACCUCUUAAAUUUGCAAGCCUUUAAAAAUGCCAAGAAUUUCUUUUUUGGGGAGCUCGGCUCUUAAGACGUG
RNAcentral lists this long non-coding RNA (1959 nucleotides) under Pongo abelii (Sumatran orangutan). Its description in RNAcentral is "lincRNA". Lineage: Eukaryota; Metazoa; Chordata; Mammalia; Primates; Hominidae. The record is from RNAcentral.